Molecule: ribosomal RNA, 209 nt
Filed under: uncultured bacterium
Lineage: Bacteria
Description: partial 16S ribosomal RNA
Rfam family: Bacterial small subunit ribosomal RNA
Source: RNAcentral
UGUCUCAGUUCGGAUUGGAGGCUGAAACCCGCCUCCAUGAAGUUGGAUUCGCUAGUAAUCGCGCAUCAGCCAUGGCGCGGUGAAUACGUUCCCGGGCCUUGUACACACCGCCCGUCAAGCCAUGGAAGCUGGGGGUGCCUGAAGUUCGUGACCGGAAGGAGCGACCUAGGGCAAAACCGGUGACUGGGGCUAAGUCGUAACAAGGUAGC